ACUACCCAAGUCGGGACCGGUCCCGGCGGGGGUCAUCCGCGCCGGGGGAAAGAGGGAAUGCCGUGCGGCCCAUCCGGGCCAAACCGGCAGCUGCCCCCGCAACUGUAAGCGGCGAGCCGGGCCAAGACGCCACUGGAGCAAUCCGGGAAGGCAGGCCCAAGGUGACGACCCGCAAGCCAGGAGACCUGCCGGUCGGGCGCCCCUUCG
RNAcentral lists this non-coding RNA (207 nucleotides) under Rhodobacteraceae bacterium PD-2. The record is from RNAcentral. RNAcentral also lists the same sequence under 1 other name. Lineage: Bacteria; Pseudomonadati; Pseudomonadota; Alphaproteobacteria; Rhodobacterales; Paracoccaceae.